UGCAGUCGAGGGGUAACAGAGAAAAGUUUGCUUUUUUGCUGACGACCGGCGCACGGGUGCGUAACGCGUAUGCAAUCUACCUUUUGCUAAGGGAUAGCCCAGAGAAAUUUGGAUUAAUACCUUAUAGUAUGAUGACUUGGCAUCAAGAUAUCAUUAAAGGUUACGGCAAAAGAUGAGCAUGCGUUCUAUUAGCUAGUUGGUGUGGUAACGGCAUACCAAGGCAACGAUAGAUAGGGGUCCUGAGAGGGAGAUCCCCCACACUGGUACUGAGACACGGACCAGACUCCUACGGGAGGCAGCAGUGAGGAAUAUUGGACAAUGGAGGCAACUCUGAUCCAGCCAUGCCGCGUGCAGGAAGACUGCCCUAUGGGUUGUAAACUGCUUUUAUACAGGAAGAAACACCUCUACGUGUAGAGAUUUGACGGUACUGUAAGAAUAAGGAUCGGCUAACUCCGUGCCAGCAGCCGCGGUAAUACGGAGGAUCCAAGCGUUAUCCGGAAUCAUUGGGUUUAAAGGGUCCGUAGGUGGAUAAUUAAGUCAGAGGUGAAAUCCUGCAGCUUAACUGUAGAAUUGCCUUUGAUACUGGUUGUCUUGAGUUAUUAUG
This 604-nucleotide ribosomal RNA is filed under the name uncultured Mesoflavibacter sp. Its description in RNAcentral is "bacterial SSU rRNA". It matches the Rfam family "Bacterial small subunit ribosomal RNA", at positions 56 to 654 of the family's 1533-position model. Lineage: Bacteria; Pseudomonadati; Bacteroidota; Flavobacteriia; Flavobacteriales; Flavobacteriaceae. The record is from RNAcentral.